UUAAAUUGAGGAUUCAAAACCUAAUCAAAUUCACCCAAUUUUUUUUCAUUAAAUUUCAACUCCCAUCAUGAAUACCCUCAUAAUAAACCCACCAAAUAUAUAAACGUCAUCUAUGGAGAAACCCACCUGGUACCAACAGAGGCUCAGGAGGUCCUGGUGCGACGUCGCCGGAUCCGCAAGAACUCGUGGACUGCUCAGUAUUUUCCAAGCUUGAGUCCAUCACCAUCAUCGCCGCUGUGCAGGAGAAGAUAGAGAUAGAGAGAUACGGGUUGUGGCGAUAGACGACGCUUCAGAUCUGGUGACCUCUCCUCACUCAUCUUUCUCUCUCAGCCUGCCUCUCAACUGUAACCACUAACCACUCAUAUGUCUAAACUUUCUCUAAAAUCCCCUCUCUAAAACUGUGUACUAGAGAUGGUAGGUAGUUGGUUGUGCAUAGAUGUAGGUCGUGAGUGGUGGUAAAAUCGGGUUACAGUGGUGGCGGCGGUGGUGGCGGAGGGGGUGGUGGGUUUAGAGAGAGAAAGGGAUGAUACAGAGAGCUGGGUUUAUGUCUGUAGAUGCCAUAUUUAUCUGA
Molecule: long non-coding RNA, 571 nt
Filed under: Helianthus annuus (common sunflower)
Lineage: Eukaryota; Viridiplantae; Streptophyta; Magnoliopsida; Asterales; Asteraceae
Description: hypothetical non coding rna
Source: RNAcentral